Molecule: ribosomal RNA, 789 nt
Filed under: uncultured archaeon
Lineage: Archaea
Description: bacterial SSU rRNA
Rfam family: Archaeal small subunit ribosomal RNA
Source: RNAcentral
ACUGCUCAGUAACACGUGGACAACCUACCCUGAGGAGGGGGAUAACCCCGGGAAACUGGGGAUAAUACCCCAUAGACUAUGGAUGCUGGAAUGCUCUGUAGUUAAAAGGCCCGCCGCCUCAGGAUGGGUCUGCGGCCGAUUAGGUUGUUGUUGGGGUAACGGCCCAACAAGCCUGUAAUCGGUACGGGUUGUGGGAGCAAGAGCCCGGAGAUGGAUUCUGAGACACGAAUCCAGGCCCUACGGGGCGCAGCAGGCGCGAAAACUUUACAAUGCGAGCAAUCGUGAUAAGGGAACUCCGAGUGCCCGUAAAAUCGGGCUGUCCGCCAGUGUAAAUAACCGGUGAAGAAAGGGCCGGGCAAGACCGGUGCCAGCCGCCGCGGUAAUACCGGCGGCUCGAGUGGUGGCCACUAUUACUGGGCUUAAAGCGUUCGUAGCUGGUCUGUUAAGUCUCUGGGGAAAUCUUCCGGCUUAACCGGAAGGCGUCUCAGGGAUACUGACAGACUAGGGACCGGAAGAGGUGAGAGGUACUCCAGGGGUAGGAGUGAAAUCCUGUAAUCCUUGGGGGACCACCUGUGGCGAAGGCGUCUCACCAGGACGGCUCCGACAGUGAGGAACGAAAGCUGGGGGAGCAAACCGGAUUAGAUACCCGGGUAGUCCCAGCUGUAAACGAUGCGCGUUAGGUGUAUCGGUGACCACGAGUCACCGAGGUGCCGAAGAGAAAUCGUGAAACGUGCCGCCUGGGAAGUACGGUCGCAAGGCUGAAACUUAAAGGAAUUGGCGGGGGAGCAC